UACGUAGGGUGCGAGCGUUGUCCGGAAUUAUUGGGCGUAAAGAGCUCGUGGGCGGUCUGUCGCGUCGGUCGUGAAAACUUGGGGCUUAACCCUGAGCUUGCGGUCGAUACGGGCAUGACUGGAGUUCGGUAGGGGAGACUGGAAUUCCUGGUGUAGCGGUGAAAUGCGCAGAUAUCAGGAGGAACACCGGUGGCGAAGGCGGGUCUCUGGUCCGAUACUGACGCUGAGGAGCGAAAGCGUGGGGAGCGAACAGG
Molecule: ribosomal RNA, 254 nt
Filed under: uncultured bacterium
Lineage: Bacteria
Description: partial 16S ribosomal RNA
Rfam family: Bacterial small subunit ribosomal RNA
Source: RNAcentral